UUAGGAAUCUUGCGCAAUGGGGGAAACCCUGACGCAGCGACGUCGCGUGAAGGAUGAAGGCCCUCGGGUCGUAAACUUCUUUUGAGUGGGAAGAAAUUUGACGGUACCACUCGAAUAAGCCCCGGCUAACUACGUGCCAGCAGCCGCGGUAAUACGUAGGGGGCGAGCGUUGUCCGAAGUUACUGGGCGUAAAGCGCGCGUAGGCGGUUAUUCAAGUCUGGGGUGAAAGGUUCAGCGCUCAACGUGAACAGUGCCUUGGAUACUGGAUGACUUGAGUCUGGGAGGGGGAAGGGGAAUUCCUGGUGUAGCGGUGAAAUGCGUAGAUAUCAGGAGGAACACCGGUGGCGAAGGCGCCUUCCUGGCCUAAGACUGACGCUGAGGUGCGAAAGCGUGGGGAGCA
This 400-nucleotide ribosomal RNA is filed under the name uncultured bacterium. Its description in RNAcentral is "bacterial SSU rRNA". It matches the Rfam family "Bacterial small subunit ribosomal RNA", at positions 355 to 770 of the family's 1533-position model. The record is from RNAcentral.